This is a non-coding RNA of Vibrio azureus NBRC 104587, 443 nucleotides long. It matches the Rfam family "Bacterial RNase P class A". Rfam says of the family: Ribonuclease P (RNase P) is a ubiquitous endoribonuclease, found in archaea, bacteria and eukarya as well as chloroplasts and mitochondria. Lineage: Bacteria; Pseudomonadati; Pseudomonadota; Gammaproteobacteria; Vibrionales; Vibrionaceae. The record is from Rfam.
GGAGCUGACUGGGUAGUCGCUGCUUUGUUGAUGUCCUUCGGGAGACUGACGUUGAGGUCCUUUUAGGAGACUGACGUUGACGUCCUUCGGGAGACUGACAAAGGGGAGGAAAGUCCGGGCUUCAUAGAGCAAGGUGCCAGGUAACGCCUGGGGGGCGCAAGCCUACGACAAGUGCAGCAGAGAGAAGACCGCCGAUGGCCCCUAUUUUCGAAUAGUGGUGCACAGGUAAGGGUGAAAGGGUGCGGUAAGAGCGCACCGGGCGGCUAGUAAUAGUUCGCAGCAGGGUAAACUCCACCUGAAGCAAGACCAAAUAGGCCUCCACAUUGCGUUGCUCGCGUAAGGAGGCGGGUAGGUUGCUCGAGCCAGUGAGUGAUUGCUGGCCUAGACGAAUGGCUACCGCCGCGCAAGCGGAACAGAACCCGGCUUAUGUGUCGGCUCCUCCA